This 501-nucleotide long non-coding RNA is filed under the name Callithrix jacchus (white-tufted-ear marmoset). Its description in RNAcentral is "lncRNA (ENSCJAG00000076140.1)". Lineage: Eukaryota; Metazoa; Chordata; Mammalia; Primates; Cebidae. The record is from RNAcentral.
CAAAUCUGAAGUUGAGCCAGGGAAAGUAGAGUGUUCAACUGCAAUUAAACUUUGUAGGCACCCUUCCCAGUUGUUUGAGCUUCGGGGUCUCCCCUCAAUUUCCUAAGAAAAACAACAUGCAAGUUAAAAACAAAAAUGAAACCGUAGUUAGGGGCAAAGUAACCUGUGAAAUUAGGGCUAACAUGAUCGGUGGUAUCUCUAAAUGGUAGCUCCAUUUAGAGAAUGAUCUCAGAGGCAGUUUCAGAAGGGUUUGGAUCAGAGCAGAGGAGGAGAUCAUGAGUGCAAGACUACAAACUAUGGCAUGAAGAGUACAGUAGAGAAGAGAGGAGUCAUGGAUGAGGGAGAGCCUUCAGCCAGGAAAGAAUCCAUGAAGGACGAGGGAAAGCGUGUCCAGCAGUUGAGGAGACAGAGACUCGCUAUUUAGGCUGUAGUGCAGUGGCACAGUCUUGGCUCACUGCAACCUCUGCCUCCCGGAUUCAAGUGAUUCUCCUGCCUUGGCCU